Molecule: ribosomal RNA, 229 nt
Filed under: Clostridioides difficile
Lineage: Bacteria; Bacillati; Bacillota; Clostridia; Peptostreptococcales; Peptostreptococcaceae
Description: partial 23S ribosomal RNA
Rfam family: Bacterial large subunit ribosomal RNA
Source: RNAcentral
GACGUAGACCCGAAACCGGGCGACCUACCCAUGAGCAGGAUGAAGCGAAAGUAAAAUUUCGUGGAGGUCCGAACCCACGAGCGUUGAAAAGCUCGGGGAUGACUUGUGGGUAGCGGUGAAAUUCCAAUCGAGCCCGGAGAUAGCUGGUUCUCCCCGAAAUAGCUUUAGGGCUAGCCUCAAGGUGAGAGAUACGGAGGUAGAGCACUGAAUGUCCUAGGGGGUAUUGCAC